Molecule: ribosomal RNA, 413 nt
Filed under: uncultured bacterium
Lineage: Bacteria
Description: bacterial SSU rRNA
Rfam family: Bacterial small subunit ribosomal RNA
Source: RNAcentral
GGGGAAGCAGGGGAGGGAAAAAGUAGGGGGCGAGCGUUGUUCGGAUUCACUGGGUGUAAAGGGCGCGUAGGUGGUUGUCUGUGUCUCAUGUGAAAACUCAGGGCUCAACUCUGAGAUUGCGUGGGAAACUAGGCAGCUAGAGGACGGUAGAGGGGAGUGGAAUUCCCGGUGUAGCGGUAAAAUGCGUAGAUACCGGGAGGAACACCGGUGGCGAAGGCGGCUCUCUGGGCCGAUCCUGACGCUGAGGCGCGAAAGCUAGGGUAGCGAACCGGAUUAGAUACCCGGGUAGUCCUAGCCGUAAACGAUGGGUGCUAGGUGUUGGGGGGUAAAGACCCUUCAGUGCCGAAGCUAACGCGAUAAGCAUCCCACCUGGGGAGUACGGCUGCAAGGUUGAAACUCAAAUAAAUUGGCGG